GAUGAACGCUGGCGGCGUGCUUAACACAUGCAAGUCGAACGAAGCACUUUUACAGAUUUCUUCGGAUUGAAAUUUUAGUGACUGAGUGGCGGACGGGUGAGUAACGCGUGGGUAACCUGCCUCACACAGGGGGAUAACAGUUGGAAACGGCUGCUAAUACCGCAUAAGCGCACGGUACCGCAUGGUACGGUGUGAAAAACUCCGGUGGUGUGAGAUGGACCCGCGUCUGAUUGGCUGGUUGGUGAGGUAACGGCCCACCAAGGCGACGAUCAGUAGCCGACCUGAGAGGGUGACCGGCCACAUUGGGACUGAGACACGGCCCAAACUCCUACGGGAGGCAGCAGUGGGGAAUAUUGCACAAUGGGGGAAACCCUGAUGCAGCGACGCCGCGUGAGCGAAGAAGUAUUCGGUAUGUAAAGCUC
RNAcentral lists this ribosomal RNA (422 nucleotides) under uncultured bacterium. RNAcentral describes it as "bacterial SSU rRNA". It matches the Rfam family "Bacterial small subunit ribosomal RNA", at positions 28 to 433 of the family's 1533-position model. The record is from RNAcentral.